This 740-nucleotide ribosomal RNA is filed under the name Kazachstania molopis. RNAcentral's name for it is "eukaryotic LSU rRNA". The stretch from base 309 to 462 matches the Rfam family "5.8S ribosomal RNA". The record is from RNAcentral. Lineage: Eukaryota; Fungi; Ascomycota; Saccharomycetes; Saccharomycetales; Saccharomycetaceae.
GUAACAAGGUUUCCGUAGGUGAACCUGCGGAAGGAUCAUUAAAGAAAUUUAAUAAUUCUUUGGUAGAGCUGAGUCUGGGAGAGAGAGUUUUAGACCAGCGCUUAACUGCGCGGACUAGGCUGUGCUCUUCUAUUCCAAAAGAUUCUUCUUCUAUUAAAAUUUUACCACACAAUGGAGUAUUUUAUUCUAUUUUUCUUUGGGUUUUAGACUUGUUCUAAGCCCAGCAAACACAAACAAUUUUGUAUUUUUAUUUUUAUUAGUCAAGAAUUAACAUUUUCUCUUUAUUGAGUUAGUGACAAAAUAUUCAAAACUUUCAACAACGGAUCUCUUGGUUCUCGCAUCGAUGAAGAACGCAGCGAAAUGCGAUACGUAAUGUGAAUUGCAGAAUUCCGUGAAUCAUCGAAUCUUUGAACGCACAUUGCGCCCCUUGGUAUUCCAGGGGGCAUGCCUGUUUGAGCGUCAUUUCCUUCUCAAACACUUGUGUUUGGUUGUGAGUGAUACUCUUUCUGGAGUUAACUUGAAAUUGCUAGCCUUUUCAGUUUGUUAAUUUCGAUUGAAAAAAAUCAUAGGUGAGAUUAUUUCUUUCCUGUCGUAUUAGGUUUUACCAACUUCGGCAACUUUAAGAAACUAUCUUAUUCCAAAAUCUAUGAAUUUUUGAUAUUGAGCGUAGCGUAACUUGGCGAACAAUACCAUCUUUAAGUUUGACCUCAAAUCAGGUAGGAAUACCCGCUGAACUUAAG